UGUGUUGGGUACGGCCACUAAGCGACGACGGGUAGCCGGCCUGANAGGCGACCGGCCCACUGGGACUGAGACACGGCCCAGACUCCUACGGGAGGCAGCAGUGGGGAAUAUUGCGCAAUGGGCGAAAGCCUGACGCAGCGACGCCGCGUGCGGGAUGAAGGCCUUCGGGUUGUAAACCGCUUUCAGCAGGGACGAAGCGAAAGUGACGGUACCUGCAGAAGAAGCGCCGGCUAACUACGUGCCAGCAGCCGCGGUAACACGUAGGGCGCAAGCGUUGUCCGGAAUUAUUGGGCGUAAAGAGCUCGUAGGUGGUCCGCUACGUCUGUUGUGAAAAUCCAGGGCUUAACCCUGGACUUGCUGCGGAUACGGGCGGACUAGAGGUAGGUAGGGGAGAAUGGAAUUCCCGGUGUAGCGGUGAAAUGCGCAGAUAUCGGGAGGAACACCGGUGGCGAAGGCGGUUCUCUGGGCCUUACCUGACACUGAGGAGCGAAAGCGUGGGGAGCGAACAGGAUUAGAUACCCUGGUAGUCCACGCCGUAAACGUUGGGCGCUAGGUGUGGGGUCCUUCCACGGAUUCCGUGCCGCANCUAACGCAUUAAGCGCCCCGCCUGGGGAGUACGGCCGCAAGGCUAAAACUCANAGGAAUUGACGGNGGCCCGCACAANCGGCGGANCAUGUUGCUUAAUUCNAANCANCNCNAANAACCUUACCAAGGUUUGA
Molecule: ribosomal RNA, 719 nt
Filed under: uncultured Actinomycetes bacterium
Lineage: Bacteria; Bacillati; Actinomycetota; Actinomycetes
Description: bacterial SSU rRNA
Rfam family: Bacterial small subunit ribosomal RNA
Source: RNAcentral